GUCAAGUAAUUAAGUGCAUGUGGUGGAUGCCUUGGCAGUCAGAGGCGAUGAAAGACGUGAUAGCCUGCGAAAAGCUCCGGGGAGGCGGCAAAUAUCCUUUGAUCCGGAGAUUUCUGAAUGGGGGAACCCACCUACUUUAAGGUAGGUAUUGCAACAUGAAUACAUAGUGUUGCAAGGCGAACGAGGGGAAGUGAAACAUCUCAGUACCCUUAGGAAAAGAAAUCAAUUGAGAUUCCCUCAGUAGCGGCGAGCGAACGGGGAUCAGCCCAUUAAGUUAUGUGUGUUUUAGUGGAACGCUCUGGGAAGUGCGAACGUAGAGGGUGAUAUUCCCGUACACGAAAGGGCACACAUAAUGAUGACGAGUAGGGCGAGGCACGUGAAACCUUGUCUGAAUAUGGGGGGACCAUCCUCCAAGGCUAAAUACUCCUGACUGACCGAUAGUGAACCAGUACCGUGAGGGAAAGGCGAAAAGAACCCCUGUGAGGGGAGUGAAAUAGAUCCUGAAACCGCAUGCAUACAAGCAGUGGGAGCACCUUCGUGGUGUGACUGCGUACCUUUUGUAUAAUGGGU
RNAcentral lists this ribosomal RNA (570 nucleotides) under Acinetobacter pittii. RNAcentral describes it as "bacterial LSU rRNA". It matches the Rfam family "Bacterial large subunit ribosomal RNA", at positions 1 to 620 of the family's 2925-position model. Lineage: Bacteria; Pseudomonadati; Pseudomonadota; Gammaproteobacteria; Moraxellales; Moraxellaceae. The record is from RNAcentral.